UGGGGAAUCUUGCACAAUGGGGGAAACCCUGAUGCAGCGACGCCGCGUGAGCGAUGAAGCCCUUCGGGGUGUAAAGCUCUUUCGGCAGGAACGAUUAUGACGGUACCUGCAGAAGAAGCUGCGGCUAACUACGUGCCAGCAGCCGCGGUAAUACGUAGGCAGCAAGCGUUGUUCGGAAUUACUGGGCGUAAAGAGUGUGUAGGCGGUGCCGCAAGUUUGGUGUGAAAUCUCCCGGCUUAACUGGGAGGGUGCGCCGAAAACUGCGGUGCUUGAGUAUGGGAGAGGAAAGCGGAAUUCCUGGUGUAGCGGUGAAAUGCGUAGAUAUCAGGAGGAACACCUGCGGUGUAGACGGCUUUCUGGACCAUUACUGACGCUGAGACACGAAAGCGUGGGUAGCAAACAGG
RNAcentral lists this ribosomal RNA (404 nucleotides) under uncultured bacterium. RNAcentral describes it as "bacterial SSU rRNA". It matches the Rfam family "Bacterial small subunit ribosomal RNA", at positions 355 to 776 of the family's 1533-position model. The record is from RNAcentral.